ACAAGUUAUGUUCGCACUGCUUGUCCCAAGUUGUCAACAAGAAUGAAACCACUUCCAUACUUGUUGACAACUUGGGACAAGCAGUGCGAACACAAGUU
Paramuricea clavata is the source of this 98-nucleotide non-coding RNA. NCBI's taxonomy places the organism in Eukaryota, Metazoa, Cnidaria, Anthozoa, Malacalcyonacea, Plexauridae. The record is from the annotation of a GenBank genome assembly.